GGCUAACAGCUCAGUCUACAGUAGAGCAUGAGACCCUUAAUCUCAAGGUCGUGGGUUUGAGCCCCACAUUGGCCA
Molecule: non-coding RNA, 75 nt
Organism: Podarcis lilfordi (Lilford's wall lizard)
Lineage: Eukaryota; Metazoa; Chordata; Lepidosauria; Squamata; Lacertidae
Source: the annotation of a GenBank genome assembly